Molecule: long non-coding RNA, 855 nt
Organism: Ziziphus jujuba (common jujube)
Lineage: Eukaryota; Viridiplantae; Streptophyta; Magnoliopsida; Rosales; Rhamnaceae
Exons: 4
Source: RefSeq, a predicted model, not a curated record
UGUUGGGGUCUUAGCGGUUGUCGAGAGUCUGUUUGUUGCUUGUUUUUGUGCUAAAUACCAGUGUUGGGGUCUUAGCGGUUGAGGCUUUUAGCAGACAAGAUUUCCCUACUGGCUUUGUCUUUGGCGCUGGAACCUCAGCUAAUCAGGUGGAAGGAGCAGCAAACGAAGAUGGGAGGACUCCCAGCAUUUGGGAUAGUUCUUUUGCUCCUAGUGCCGUAUUUGAACAACCUUACAAGAGGAUCCAUCAAAUAAUCAUCUUGGGUGUCCUCUACUGAAAAAAUGGAGAAGAGCUGGAAACUAGCUUUACUCCUCCUGCAUAUAUUUCUAAAAGACUCUGCUCUUCAUAAGUCCAGAACCAGAAACUGAGCCAACCUCUUCAUCAUCAUCAUCAACAUCUCCAUGAGAAAAAGAGAGUUUUACCAAAAACCGCUAUUGUAAAAGAGAUAGAAUCCAACCAGUAUUGAAAGAGAGAAGCGAGGAAAACCUGAUUGGUGAACUUCAGCAGAGAUCGGUGAACUUCAGCAGAGAUCUGUUCGAAUUUGUUGAAGGCACGGCUGACUAUUCGAGAUCUGUUCAAUGAAAGUUAGCUGGUGUGCGUGGGUCGACGAGCGGUGAACGUUUCGCAGGCCAGUGAAGGAGCUGGUCGAGUGACGAAGGUGAGAGAGAAGAGAGGCCAAGGUGAGAGAACAGGUGGAAACAUCUUUUUGAUGUUUUCCCAAUUUUGUUUUUUUUUUUUAACUUGUUUUCAGAAUUUGUUUUUAGAAACAAAUGGCCACACAGGUAUAAAAUUGUUUUGGAAACAAAUUUCUGUUUUCAAGAACAGAAAACUGUUCUGAAAACAGCUGGCCAAACAGG